RNAcentral lists this ribosomal RNA (433 nucleotides) under uncultured bacterium. RNAcentral describes it as "partial 16S ribosomal RNA". It matches the Rfam family "Bacterial small subunit ribosomal RNA", at positions 29 to 507 of the family's 1533-position model. The record is from RNAcentral.
AACGAACGCUGGCGGCAUGCCUAACACAUGCAAGUCGAACGAGACCUUCGGGUCUAGUGGCGCACGGGUGCGUAACGCGUGGGAACCUGCCCUUAGGUUCGGAAUAACUCCCCGAAAGGGGUGCUAAUACCGGAUAAUGUCUUCGGACCAAAGAUUUAUCGCCUUUGGAUGGGCCCGCGUUGGAUUAGCUAGUUGGUAGGGUAAAAGCCUACCAAGGCGACGAUCCAUAGCUGGUCUGAGAGGAUGAUCAGCCACACUGGGACUGAGACACGGCCCAGACUCCUACGGGAGGAAGCAGUGGGGAAUAUUGGAAAAUGGGCGAAAGCCUGAUCGAGCAAUGCCGCGUGAGUGAUGAAGGCCUUAGGGUUGUAAAGCUCUUUUAACCGGGAUGAUAAUGACAGUACCGGGAGAAUAAGCUCCGGCUAACUCCGUG